This is a long non-coding RNA of Thunnus maccoyii (southern bluefin tuna), 1450 nucleotides long. RefSeq lists it as uncharacterized. NCBI's taxonomy places the organism in Eukaryota, Metazoa, Chordata, Actinopteri, Scombriformes, Scombridae. The transcript has 3 exons. The record is from RefSeq and is a predicted model, not a curated record.
CAAGGCAGAUGGCUGCCCACCUAGAGCCCGGUUCUGUUCAUGGUUUCUAAAACUAAAGGGCAGUUUUUCUUUGCCGCUGUCACCAAGUGCUUGCUCAUGGGGACAGAACCAACCUCCAUCUCUGGAAAGGCUAAUAAUCUCUGGCAUAGUAUGGAAUCAUUCGAGACUUUCAUUACUGCUGUGAUAACCAGCCAUGUUCUAGGUGACAUGCAGCCCCUCACCAAACAAUUGCAUGCUACUAACUUGGACAUCAUCACAGCAUAUGAAGAGCCCCGCCCAACUCUGUCGAUGUGGUCCCAGCCAAGCGGAGAAGAUCUGUGAAACAGAAAUACAGGCCUAACUAAUCCACAGACUCAGUGGAAGACCACUACAGGGUAAAUGUAUUUUAUCCAUUUAUAGACCAAAUCACUAGUGAGCUGGAUGCCAGGUUCUCUCAAAGGAAUAAGCCUGCGAUGCUAGCAGCUCACCAAGUACCAAAAGCUCUAAGAAAAGCUGAUAGCAGAAAGGGAGGAAGAGCUGGUAGAGUGGUACUGAGAAGACCUACCUGACCCAGACACAGCGGAGCAGGAAAUAGAACGCUGGAGGCACAAGUUUCACUCAGAAGAUGAGUCCCUGCCAACAUCAGCUUUUGAAACUCUGCAAGCAAUAUAAAUGGCCUUCUUUCCCAACAUAAAAUGUAUGUUGAAAAUGUUUCUUACACUUAAAGUGACAACAUGUGCCUGCAAAAGGUCAUUCUCUGGCUCAGAGCCAGCAUGUCCAAUGAACAGCUCACAGGACUGGUGCUUACACAUGUUCACAAGAGAGUGAAAAUUGACAAGGAGAGAGUUUUGAGGCAGUGGGAUGUCUCUGGCCACAGGAGGAUACAGCAGCCUUCCAAAAGUGAGUCAAGAAGUGAAGAAGUGGAGGGAAAGACCAUAAUGUAUGCAGGAAAUCAACACAAGGGAGGGUAGUGAAAAGCCUGUAGUCAGUGUAUUCUUCAACCAAACACACACAGAAAAAGAGUGAAAGUAAAUUGUGACAAAUUCUGCGGCUGUAAUAAAAGUAUUUUUGCCAACGGGUCCUUCUGGAUGUAUUUAAUUAAUGAGUUUGCGUAUAGUGUAUAGCUUAGGUUGUGAUUGUAGGUGUCAUUUUGGUAUGAAUUUUGCUCAUCCGGAAAUGCAGUAAAUAAGAUCCAUUGAAAGAAAAAAAUAAUAAUCUUAGCUUGACUGUUUCAGUCUUUAAAAGUGCUCCCCAGUACGCCAGUAGAGACUGAAGUCCGAUGAGUCUGCAUCUCUUUGUUUUGUACAGUGCAGCGUUUGUACAGUGAGGUUGUAUUUUUGUACACAGUAUUAAUUUUCUGCUUUUAUUGCUUCACUCUAGAAAUAACACCGACGUGUUGUUCUGCUUAAAAGAAAUAGUGCCUGCUGACUAAACAGCUGAUAAUGGAAAUAAUAAAACUAUUGUUAUUUGA